Non-coding RNA from Protobothrops mucrosquamatus (brown spotted pit viper), 627 nucleotides. NCBI's taxonomy places the organism in Eukaryota, Metazoa, Chordata, Lepidosauria, Squamata, Viperidae. The record is from the annotation of a RefSeq genome assembly.
GAUUCUGCUGAGAUGCCCUAUUGCCACAAAUGAGCUUCCUUUUGUUGUUUGCUCUCUUGUCCUUGACGGCUGCUUCUAUUGUUCAGCUGCCAGAUGUGAUCAUUAUGGAAGGGGCUGCAACCACACUGGCAUGUUCUCAACUUAAGACCAGCCAUGCAUAUAUGUCCUGGUACAAGCAAGAGAAGAGGAGGGAAGCCCAUUCACAGCUCCAGCUGGUGGCUUUUACAUCUGAAGGUUCUCCAAGAGAAUCUGCCAUUGAGCAACCUUUCAAAAAACGCUUCAAGACCUCAGGGAUGAAGUCACAUGCCUUGCCUCUGUCUCUGGAGAAUGCCCAGCUGGAAGACACAGGCACCUACUACUGUGCUUCACAAGAGUACACAGCAGAGCAAAUGCUGAGGAAGCCAAGCCAAAACCUCUUCACAGGAAACUCCCCUGUGGCAGAUCCUUCCCAAUAACUAACACAGGGCGGCAGCCAUGAGCUAUUCAUUAUAUUGCACAAACAUCUGGCACUUUUGGCUUAGCUAUCUAGGAGUAGCAUCUGCUCAGCGGUGACACUCAAUAGUGACAAGGCUGAAGACAUGAUUCUGUAUAAAGCAUUUUUAGAGUCAUAAUUGCUUGAAGACAGAC